This 1624-nucleotide long non-coding RNA is filed under the name Marmota monax (woodchuck). The record is from RNAcentral. Lineage: Eukaryota; Metazoa; Chordata; Mammalia; Rodentia; Sciuridae.
GAAACCAACCUAGAUGCUCUUUCAACAGAUGAAUGGAUAAAGAAAAUGUGGAAUAUAUACACAAUGGAAUAUUACUCAGUCUUAAAGAAUGAAAUUAUGGCAUUUGCUGGUAAAUGGAUGGAGCUGGAAAAUAUCAUGCUAAGAGAAAUAAGCCAACCUCAAAAGACCAGAGGCCAAAUGUUUUCUCUGAUAUAAGGAUGCUACUUCACCAUAAGGAGGGCUUGGUAAGAAUGGAGGUACUUUGGAUUAGGCAGAGGGGAGUGAAGGGAGGGGAGGGAGUGUGGGAGAUAGGAUAGUAGAAUGAAUGGGACAUAAUUAUGAACACAUGUGACCUGACUGGUGUAAAUUCUACAUCAUGUACAACCAAAAGAAUGAGAAGUAAUACUCCACAUAUGUAUGAUGUGUCAAAAUGUCAGAUGUAACUAAUUAGAACAAAUAAAAAUUUAAAAAAAAAGUUAGUGGAGCUAGCCAAUAACUUGAUGGUUUUUAAUCAUAUUGAGUGAUUAUUGGUAUUAUUAUCCCCACCCCCCGUAUAGUAUAGUAUAAUGGGGAAAACCACAAAGUCUUUAGUUAACAGAGAAUUUCCUGAAAGUGAGUGUGAAAAAGUGUAGACAAAGUAAAUCCAUUUUGGAGUUGGGAGGGAGAGAGAGGACUGAGAGAAAGAUUAAAAUCAACCCUGUGUCACUCUUGUACCAGGAAAGGGUAGACUUGAAUCAUGUUACCUGUUUAGAAUUCUUUUGAUUAUUUUUCUUUGCCCUCAAAUAGUAGUGUUGUUGUACACGCAUGUGUGACAGGUCCAAGAAAUAUAGAAAAUAGAAAAUAAUUUGGAAGAAGAUAAACCCUGAGGCAGGAUUCAGUGCCAGCUUAGCCAAAAUAAUGAGACCCUGUCUCAAAAUUAAAUUUAAAUAUAAGAAGGUAAACCACCUCAAGUUUUAUUACCUAAAGAGAAACAUAAUUAAGAUUUUGGAUUCUGUAUAAUUCUAGUAUUUAAUUAAGCCAUGAGAAGAUUUAGUGAGAGUCUUGGGGAAAUUCAUUAAUAAUUGUGUGUGUGUGUGAGUGUAUGUGUGUGUAUGUGUGUGUCUGGGAAUUGAACCCAGAGCCUCCUGCAUGCUAGGCAGGUGCUCUACCACUGAGCUACAUCUCCAGCUUCCCAUUAAGAUUUCUGAAAUCUGCAUCUUGGUUUAUGUUACUUGCGAUCUGCAUGUUUCACAUUGAGUGUUUGGGCAUAUCUGCAUCAGACAUUGCCUUACAGACCUGGAAAUUUCCACAGAAAUCAGGCAGUUUAUAAGAACUGAAAGAGCAAGAUCAAGAUAGCUAGACCAUCAUAAAGCUAACCAGCAAGGACUGAGUACUGCCUGUCCGCAUCACGUCUCGCUGCUGCAGGGCUUUCCAGCACUGCUCCUGCCACGGCUCCCAAGGCACAGAAGACGAAGGAGGGAUGCAUUAGUGCUGUUAUUCUGCCAUGCUGACUAGAUUUAUAGAUGCAUUACCUCUCUACCUCCUGCCAAGUCUGAUGAGGGAAGCAGUUCAGAUUUUUAAAGAUCAAUGAGAAUAUUAUGCAGCAGUUUUUAAGAUAGGGAGAAAGCUGAUUUUUCCUUUCCUUUUUUUUUUAUAUACAUAGGGA